GUUACAGCGCAGCUGGUGCAUGACCAGAGGAUUCUCCAUGGCCCCAGGAGUCUUGGUCUCGUUGGGGAUGAUGCAACGCACAAAGUGGGGAUUGACAGACUGCCAGGCCAUCUCUACUGCUCCCCCAGGCUAAGACCAUCUCUUCCCUCACCAAGGCACGUGGGUUCCCUGACAGGGGGUGAAAGAAAGAUAUAGUCAGCAUACAGGAUUCUGUUGGGGAAGCCCUUUCUGCAGAUCCUGAUGCCUUCCAGCACACCGUUACAGCGCAGCUGGUGCAUGACCA
Oncorhynchus nerka (sockeye salmon) is the source of this 283-nucleotide long non-coding RNA. RefSeq lists it as uncharacterized. The record is from RefSeq and is a predicted model, not a curated record. NCBI's taxonomy places the organism in Eukaryota, Metazoa, Chordata, Actinopteri, Salmoniformes, Salmonidae. The transcript has 3 exons.